This 419-nucleotide ribosomal RNA is filed under the name uncultured Chloroflexota bacterium. RNAcentral describes it as "bacterial SSU rRNA". It matches the Rfam family "Bacterial small subunit ribosomal RNA", at positions 946 to 1382 of the family's 1533-position model. The record is from RNAcentral. Lineage: Bacteria; Bacillati; Chloroflexota.
UUAAUUCGAUGCAACGCGAAAACCUUACCUACCCUUGACAUGCCAGGAACCUUGCUGAGAGGCGAGGGUGCCUUCGGGAGCCUGGACACAGGUGCUGCAUGGCUGUCGUCAGCUCGUGUCGUGAGAUGUAUGGUUAAGUCCUGCAACGAGCGCAACCCUCGUGGUUAGUUGUUUCUCUAACCAGACUGCCUCGCAAAACGGGGAGGAAGGUGGGGAUGACGUCAAAGUCAGCAUGGCCUUUAUAUCUUGGGCUACACACACGCUACAAUGGGUGGCACAAUAGGUUGCAACAGUGCGAACUGAAGCUAAUCCCCAAAGCCAUCCUCAGUACAGAUUGCAGGCUGAAACCCGCCUGCAUGAAGUCGGAGUUGCUAGUAACCGCAAAUCAGCAUGUUGCGGUGAAUACGUUCUCGGGCCUU